UCAGCCUGCUCCUUCCUGUAAUCUAAACACUUUCUCUCCAGUUCCUCUCGUUGGGCAAGCAGGGCUGCCAUCUCCUCCUGGAGUCUUCUCUUGUCUUGGGACAAACGGGUUAUCUGGGCCUGCAGAGCAGUCUGCGAGCGCUGUGCGCGCCGCGUCACCUGUUGCAAGCGCGAGGCGUAGUUCUGUCUCAGCUCGUCCAUCUGGCGCUCCCACACGCGCUGCUUCUCCUCAAACACCUGAAUGAUGGCGGCUUCACUUUGGUCCAGGUUGCGGCGCAUGUGCUGCACCUAGUGAUCAAGUAAAGCAUUUGUAAAUAUUAUAAGAUAUUUUUGUCAUGCAAGAUACUCUAGGUGAAGAUUGCUUAGUUUAGGGCAUCAUUCGAUCUCUAGGUUUGGCAAUUCUAUGACAGCGUAGAUUUUCUUUGGGCAUAAAAUCAGUGAAACAUAUUAAAAAGGUAAAGUCUAAAGUGGCAAAUAUGUGUUGUGGCUUCCCCUGGCCGUUCUUUGUAACAUCCAUUUUGAUAACUGGAGCAGGUCCAUGUCAUUCAGAACCUUUAACCAUUAUUAUGAAGGCAAAAACAAACAUUUGUGUUAAAAUUUGCAGGCAUCUGCACUUUGCAAACCAAAAUGGAUGGAACCGAAAUUCAUGUCAUUUCUAACACUAGUGCUAUUCCUAGUUUGUAUUAUUUUACUAACAUGUUGUGGAGAGGGCAAUUUUAAUUUGACUUUAACACAGUACCCGAUGUCCAUCAAUAAGCAUUAUUCUAUUCAAAUAAAUGCAGAU
Molecule: long non-coding RNA, 783 nt
Organism: Hippocampus zosterae (dwarf seahorse)
Lineage: Eukaryota; Metazoa; Chordata; Actinopteri; Syngnathiformes; Syngnathidae
Exons: 2
Source: RefSeq, a predicted model, not a curated record